RNAcentral lists this non-coding RNA (21 nucleotides) under Caenorhabditis elegans. Lineage: Eukaryota; Metazoa; Nematoda; Chromadorea; Rhabditida; Rhabditidae. The record is from RNAcentral.
UUUAUACGUUUGUUUCUUGAA